This 465-nucleotide ribosomal RNA is filed under the name Vreelandella stevensii. RNAcentral's name for it is "partial 16S ribosomal RNA". It matches the Rfam family "Bacterial small subunit ribosomal RNA", at positions 338 to 795 of the family's 1533-position model. Lineage: Bacteria; Pseudomonadati; Pseudomonadota; Gammaproteobacteria; Oceanospirillales; Halomonadaceae. The record is from RNAcentral.
CCUACGGGAGGCUGCAGUGGGGAAUAUUGGACAAUGGGGGCAACCCUGAUCCAGCCAUGCCGCGUGUGUGAAGAAGUCCCUCGGGUUGUAAAGCACUUUCAGUGAGGAAGAACGCCUGGUGGUUAAUACCCAUCAGGAAAGACAUCACUCACAGAAGAAGCACCGGCUAACUCCGUGCCAGCAGCCGCGGUAAUACGGAGGGUGCGAGCGUUAAUCGGAAUUACUGGGCGUAAAGCGCGCGUAGGUGGCUUGAUAAGCCGGUUGUGAAAGCCCCGGGCUCAACCUGGGAACGGCAUCCGGAACUGUCAAGCUAGAGUGCAGGAGAGGAAGGUAGAAUUCCCGGUGUAGCGGUGAAAUGCGUAGAGAUCGGGAGGAAUACCAGUGGCGAAGGCGGCCUUCUGGACUGACACUGACACUGAGGUGCGAAAGCGUGGGUAGCAAACAGGAUUAGAUACCCCAGUAGUC